This 478-nucleotide ribosomal RNA is filed under the name uncultured bacterium. RNAcentral describes it as "partial 16S ribosomal RNA". It matches the Rfam family "Bacterial small subunit ribosomal RNA", at positions 28 to 507 of the family's 1533-position model. The record is from RNAcentral.
GAUGAACGCUGGCGGCAGGCUUAACACAUGCAAGUCGAACGGGAAGUAUGGCGUGUAGACUUCGGGGGAUUUGAGUGAUUUCUAGUAGCGGUCUGGUGAGUAACGCUUUGGGAACCUGCCUUAUACAGGGGGAUAGCAGUCAGAAAGAGCGGCUAAUACGGCAUAGGCUCACAGAGCUGCGUUUCGCAGUGUGGAAAAAUCCGGUGGUAUAAGAUGGACCCGCGUUGGAUUAGCUAGUUGGUGGGGUAACGGCCCACCAAGGCGACGAUCCAUAGCUGGCCUGAGAGGGUGAACGGCCACAUUGGGACUGAGACACGGCCCAGACUCCUACGGGAGGCAGCAGUGGGGAAUAUUGAACAAUGGGCGAAACCCUGAUCCAGCGAUGCCGCGUGAAGGAAGAAGUAUUUAGGUAUGUAAACUUCUAUCAGCAGGGAAGAUAGUGACGGUACUCGAAUAAGAAGCCCCGGCUAACUACGUG